UCCGCUACCGGCGCGAGAAGCGUAAUUACACCUCGUAUUGUUGGACACACCACUGUCCAGGUUAGCAUCUCGCCGCUACCCGCCCGAGAAGCGUAAUUACAAACUGGACGCCACUGCCCAGAGCGGCAUCCUGUAGGACAGGGAACCUUAGAGUGGGGCGUAUAAAAUUUAUAACACCUUGCUGCCCCAGAAUCGGUCAAGUCCGUGAUUUGUAAGAUGACGAAGAACGGUAUUAAGAAGCGUCUCUUACGUGUUAAUUGUAAGCGCGAGAGAGUGCACAAAGAUUAGGCGCGAACAAAGCCCAUACGAUCUUGGGAACUGGGGAAAGAAGAUACGACCGUCCAGAAGGUACCUAUUGAAGUCUGAAUGAUCAAAGCGGUAUCAUUACGACGCUAGGGCCUUAUAUACCCAGGGUACGAAGAGUAGAGAAGAAGAGAGAGAGACCAGACUAGAGUAGAGAGAGGACAUAGAGGUAGGAGCUAGACCAGGUUAGGCGAAGGGUAGUGACGAUAUUCUUGUACGCUGCUUGAUAGUCGUCUGUUCGACAAAAAUGUUAUAACCAGUGUUUCAGGAAAUAGUAGUUAUCGUUCUGUAGAUUAUAGGUCCUCAAAUUCAUAGAUUGUUUUGCGAACAUCAUUCUAGUCAUUGUUGUUGAUGAUUAAAUAUUUCAAAAAUAUUACAGCGUGAAGUUUUCUUGUCAUCUUUGACAUAGCCUAUAGCGAUCACGGUCAGAGUGGUGUAACCAGUACAACAACAACAUUAAUACGGUUACACACUCGAUUUGGUGACAUGACCAGGAUCUCCGGUGUUGUUUCGAAGUUUAGCUGUGAUUUAGAGUAGGAAGUUCUAACCGAAAUUGCCCGUCAAAGAAGUCAACUCUGUGCCCUGUUGCUGAUCGUGUCCUGUUGCUGAUCAUGGACUGUUGCUGUUGCUGAUGGUGUCUGUUGCUGAUUGUAUCCUAUUGCUGAUAGUGGACUGUUGCUGAUCGUGGACUGUUGCUGAUCGUGGCCUGUUGCUGAUUGUGGUCUGUUGCUGAUCGUGGCCUGUUGUUGACGAAGACAACUUGACGUCCUGGUUGCUGAACUGCCCGGGGACAUCUCCAACACAUCUACGUCGAGAAACCAAUUGCCCCCUGCUACGGUAGUGUGACUUACAGUUUUCCGCAGAAACCAAGAUCAUCUGAAGAACGGUGAGGUAAAGUGUGCUAGACAGUCAGACAGCGAUGUAUGCAUAUCUUAACGACUAUUUUGUCUACGGCUAGCUGUGAUAAAACUGACAGGUUGGUCCUGGGUACUGCGCUUUGGCGGGUGCUGAGAAUUAUUGUUUGUGGUAUAAGGACGCAUCACACUACUCUAUGGAUGUUGUAACACAUUGCAAACCUGUACUAAAUGCUAAUAACAAUAUGAGUGAGUCGUGUGGUACUUGUAUUGUCCACAUACGCUGUAAUGUAGUAUCCUUGUAUAAGAUUGUAUUACUUUUCAAUAGACCUGAACUGUCUGCCCAUACCACGUACACAGAAUGAAGUAAAUAAUAAUAAUAAUUGCAUUUAUAUAGCGCAUAUCCAUGCUCAAGAGCAUGCUCUAUGCACUUUGCAACUAUUAUUACCCCAGCAGACCCUCUAUUAACACUUGGAAACAUUCUCGGCUUCCGCGGAAGCAUACAGUAAGCCACCAGGCAAAGACCCAUCGUAUGGUCACUGGUGUAGCAGUCGUGAGACGUGAACAGUUCAUUAAAUAACUGUUGGCUGUAGGAGCAAUUAUUUAAUAUAAGUGAUUAUGAGGCCGAAAGGCAAUAUGAAGGGUAUAUGAAUGUUCACAUUUUUAAUUGUAAACGCGUGGGAGUGCACAACGAUUUGACGCCUUUAAAGCCCAUACGAUCUUAGGGACUAGGGAAAGAAGAUACAACCAUCCAGAAUGUACCUAUUGAAGUCUGAAUGAUUAAAGCGGGAUCAUUACGACGCUAGGGCCUUAUAUCCCCAGGAUACCAAGAGUAGAGAAGAAAAGAGAGAGACCAGACUAGAGUAGAGAGAAGACGUAUAGGUAGGAACUAGACCAGCUUAGGCGAAGGGUAGUGACGAUUUUCUUGUAUACUGCUAGAUAGUCGUCUGUUCGACAAACGUUAUAGCCAGUGUUUCAGGAAAUAGUAGUAACCCUUCUGUAGAUUAUAGGUCCUUAAAGCUCGUAGCUUGUUUUACGAACAUCAUUCUAUUCAUUGUUGUUGAUGAUUAAAUAUUUUU
Molecule: long non-coding RNA, 2236 nt
Organism: Aplysia californica (California sea hare)
Lineage: Eukaryota; Metazoa; Mollusca; Gastropoda; Aplysiida; Aplysiidae
Exons: 2
Source: RefSeq, a predicted model, not a curated record